Molecule: long non-coding RNA, 1016 nt
Filed under: Mus musculus (house mouse)
Lineage: Eukaryota; Metazoa; Chordata; Mammalia; Rodentia; Muridae
Description: long non-coding RNA chr12:29357262-29358278
Source: RNAcentral
CCUCCCUCUACAGGCUGAAGCCUGCGAAGGAAAGGCCGCCCAGCACCAGGCUUGCUGCUGCUCGGUACCUGCAAUUUGCACAGAGGGAGUUCAGCUAUUUCAGAGCAGAGGCACUAGAAAUACCCGAGUAGAGGGGAACACGAUGCCUCCUCCCACACCACCCUCAGAAUCCAGGGUGGUACAGGGUGAACUUUCCAUCAAGGUGACAUUGAUUUUUUUAAAAAAGAUUAAAAAGAGAAAGAAAGAAAGAAAGAAAGAAAGAAAGAAAGAAAGAAAGAAAGAAAGAAAGAAAGAAAGAAAGAAAGAGAAAGAAAGAAAGCAGCACCAAUAUUUCUAAAUGCUGGACAAAAGAACACAGAAACCAAAGGGCAAAUGGACCUGCAAGCAUCUAGCCUCUCCCACCAUUAGGCAGCAACACCUUCCAGUCCGAGGCUCCCUAAGCUCCAAUGCACAGGCAGCUCUGGGGCCCUACCAAGGUGUAGACUCUCCUCUAUCCUUCUGAGAAAGGGGAGGGAGGCUGGAGUUCUGCAUCAAUCUCAAGUUUUCCAGAAACCCUGAUGUUUGUCCCUUGAGCCACAAUGGGUCACAAAGAAGUCACCUUCUUCAGGGCAGUUCCUCUCUGCCCAGCUGGGGUCAGCUGUCCUGUAAUACUCCCCAGAGAGGAAGCUGUCUUCUCUGACUGAGAUCCCAGCUGGGCAGUACUGACUGGUCUGACAGCUUGUGCUUGGAUGUACUUCACCAGAAAGAGGUCUUCUCAGGAGAAGCACCACAGCAUAGGAAUUCCUGGGACUAGCGCCUUGGACACACCCCACCCUUCUCUUGGGAGCAAGCCUCCAGGGAUCACUAAGGUAGGGGCACGGCCUGCUCCGUGAGUACUGUCCAUCUAUCUGUUUCUGUGGAGUGAUUACUAGAGAUAGCCCUGGAUGCAGUUUCUUCUCCAGACAAGCCAUUUGGCAUUAGCACUUUGAUUCUCUUCAGAGUUAAUGAAGAGUCUAGGCAGAUCACUGGGCCAGCCA